UACGGGGGGUGCAAGCGUUGUUCGGAAUUACUGGGCGUAAAGGGCUCGUAGGCGGCUAACUAAGUCAGACGUGAAAUCCCUCGGCUUAACCGGGGAACUGCGUCUGAUACUGGAUGGCUAGAGGUUGGGAGAGGGAUGCGGAAUUCCAGGUGUAGCGGUGAAAUGCGUAGAUAUCUGGAGGAACACCGGUGGCGAAGGCGGGAUCCUGGACCAAAUCUGACGCUGAGGAGCGAAAGCCAGGGGAGCAAACGGG
Molecule: ribosomal RNA, 253 nt
Filed under: uncultured bacterium
Lineage: Bacteria
Description: partial 16S ribosomal RNA
Rfam family: Bacterial small subunit ribosomal RNA
Source: RNAcentral